GGUAGAGAACAAGUCAGACUGCCUAAAGCACAGGGCUCCCAUUCCAUUCCUGCUCUUAAAGAGACAGCUCCAGCCACCACCCCACCACUGACAGGAGCUCCCUGGGGUCCAAGACUGAGGUGGUGGCCAACUACAAGCUCUGGAUGGAGAGUCCGCCAGCAAUGUGGGAAAGGCCCAAGCAAGCACUAGGCAACCAGAUCAGAAGGCCUCCUGGCUCAAAGCCCUCUUCUUGAGUUCCUGGCUUAUCACCAUCGACCAGGAGACUAUGUUACCACUGAGUCUGCUGUUUGGACUGCAGAACAAGGUUGGACCCAUCCCACUCGGGUUGGGGGUGUACCACCAGCCUCUCUGGGUGGAGACACCUCAUUUUGGAUGGCCAUUUCAGGACAUAGCCCCUUAAAGUUAACACCAAAGAAACUGUAAGCUGUCUAUUUGCUUUAGGGCUCUGGCAAAUUGCAGGGGAAAUGUGUAUAAUCAGGAUCAUGCUUACCCAGUUAACUUAUUGAUUAUAGAUAACUUGAAUGACCUGGAUAUUUCAGCCUUUAGGCCAAGAGAUUGGCUAGGACUACAUUUAGGAGUAGAUGUUACAGGACAAGAUCCCCUAGACCAGUGGUCGGCAAACUGCGGCUCGCAAGCCACAUGUGGCUCUUUGACCCCUUGAGUGUGGCUCUUCCACAA
This is a long non-coding RNA of Myotis myotis, 678 nucleotides long. RefSeq lists it as uncharacterized. Lineage: Eukaryota; Metazoa; Chordata; Mammalia; Chiroptera; Vespertilionidae. The transcript is spliced from 3 exons. The record is from RefSeq and is a predicted model, not a curated record.